AAGAAGUUAGUUUAAAAAAAACAUUAAUUUGUCAAAUUAAAAAUAUUAAAUUAAUACUUCUUA
RNAcentral lists this transfer RNA (63 nucleotides) under Dicranocephalus alticolus. RNAcentral's name for it is "tRNA-Asp". The record is from RNAcentral. Lineage: Eukaryota; Metazoa; Arthropoda; Insecta; Hemiptera; Stenocephalidae.